CAAAUAUACGAACAGUCAAUACGAAACCAAAAUCCCUAACAGACGCGCUGUUCAUCGUCGUUCUCACCUCGUUUGCGUCCCAAGCUCGCAAAAUUCCAGGCGAGUGAGAUCAAAAUUACCCACGCGUUCCUCUCUCUCCUCGCCACCAUGUUUAUAACUGUCUGACAGAUUCUUUCGUCCCCAUUCCCCUCUCACUUGAUGGAAGCCUCUAGAAGGCAUAUGCUGGAUGAAUGAGGAGCGUGGGAUUGAUUUCGGUUAAUCCCAGGCUUUCAUUCAUCAGGUGUGAGCCUGAUAACUAGAGGAAUUCUGGAUUUUUUUCGGGGAAUGCUUUUGAACGGAUUUUCUAAAAACUAAGGGGGUUGGGGGAAAGGAAGAGAAAAAGGGGAAAGGACUCUGGAUUUGUUCCUCUCUUUUGGUUGAGUUCUUAAAAAGGGUUUUAAAAAAAAAACCUAUAAGCAUUUUUAGUUUUGAAAUCUGGAUUCGAGUUCAUGGAAGACACAGAUUGAUGUUCGAAGCUCCGCCUCUACUGUUGUUCUGCUGAGUCGCUGCCGAACCUCGCUAAGACUUGGAGUUGAUAGUUGUAUUAUCGAGUUUCAAAUUGUUAUAAAGGGAAUUUACAACUUCAGUGGUGUGAUUAGUGGAGUAUGUUCAAUCAGUGAAAGCUGAGUUUGAAGAAUCAUCCUCUAUGCUUAGGCCUUAACUGCUAUCAUGGAGUCGAGGUUUCAGUUGAGUCAAGAUCUCGGGUUAAUUUUAAAUGUAUGUUUGAAUGGUUGUAUUAAGGAAAGGAGACUGCCUGUUCGAGGCCGGAUGUCUGCUUGACUUGUUGCAUUGCUUAGUACAAUCAGCUCUUUCCUUGCUAAUUUGAAUUGUAAUCUGAUGUUGCCUAGUCAGUGGUAUUUACCAAGACCUGCUACAAAUGCUCGAAGAUAAGCGAUUCAAUGUUUGUUCUAAAGCAGUAGCUAGUCUAAAUUUCAGCUAUCCAAGUAGAAUUGAUUUAAAUUUCAGCAGUAGCUUAUUAAGGUUUGGUUCAUUCUCGUCAUGUUUGGUUAGCUUCGCAUUCGCGUGGUUUGUCCACCUCGUCUUGGUCCGUAGGACUGUUGUAGAAAUGCUGCAGCUGUUAUUUUUCUUGUUAUUGCCCUGUUGAUUCGCUAGUUCUUCUGUUGAUAUUCCGUCGUUUGGUUUUC
Molecule: long non-coding RNA, 1184 nt
Organism: Nicotiana attenuata
Lineage: Eukaryota; Viridiplantae; Streptophyta; Magnoliopsida; Solanales; Solanaceae
Exons: 2
Source: RefSeq, a predicted model, not a curated record